UAUACGGUGCUCGCGCUUCGCGCAUGCGCCCAGUGAGUCACUCGCGAUGGAGGCCCUUUGAAUCUAUUUUACGAUGACAGUACCGAAAUGGUGAUUGACACCUCAGUAAAAGGAUUUGUACAUAACGAGAAUUCCAAAUUAUAUCGUGGGUAAACAGAAUAUCUCAAAUGUUUAACAAGAUUUUCUCAUCUGAGCCUGAAACAACGACGAAACCUGAGUAAACUUUUAACGUAUCGACAAUUUUUAAAGCGUUAGCAUAUAAUUGCCGACACCUAGAUGAAGCUGCCUUUUAUCCCAGGCCAACCAUAGUACGGUACCUUCAUUGAUAGUGACUUUUUUUUUUAAUAUUCCGGACAAGUAUUAAUUUAUAACGCCGCUUCAUGCCGACCGAAGACGAUAAUUUGAAGUGACAUCACCCCAAAUAGAACGCAGUCUCAUAGUCAUGUUGGUUAGUCCUAUAGGCCUACAGUAUUGGGCAAGUGAAGAUGGCAGCGUUUGACAGCAAGUGAGGACAUGUCAGGCUUUAGCCCUAGGCACGGCAAUGGUAGCUCA
Long non-coding RNA from Anneissia japonica, 552 nucleotides. RefSeq lists it as uncharacterized. The record is from RefSeq and is a predicted model, not a curated record. NCBI's taxonomy places the organism in Eukaryota, Metazoa, Echinodermata, Crinoidea, Comatulida, Comatulidae. The transcript has 3 exons.